UGGGAUGUAGCUCAGUGGUAGAGCGCAUGUUUGAGGCCCCGGGUUCAAUCCCUGGCAUCUCCA
This is a non-coding RNA of Xenopus laevis (African clawed frog), 63 nucleotides long. NCBI's taxonomy places the organism in Eukaryota, Metazoa, Chordata, Amphibia, Anura, Pipidae. The record is from Rfam.